Molecule: microRNA precursor, 96 nt
Organism: Nicotiana attenuata
Lineage: Eukaryota; Viridiplantae; Streptophyta; Magnoliopsida; Solanales; Solanaceae
Rfam family: MIR6152 microRNA precursor family
Source: Rfam
UGGACAAAUUAUUGUAUUCGACUGUAUUCACGGCGUGAAACAUGAGAUUACACUGUUUUUAAAUGGAAAGUGAAUCAGUUAACAUAAUAGACUCCU